ACCCAGACCGCCAGCUAAGGUCCCAAAGUUGUGGUUAAGUGGUAAACGAUGUGGGAAGGCUUAGACAGCUAGGAGGUUGGCUUAGAAGCAGCCAUCCUUUAAAGAAAGCGUAAUAGCUCACUAGUCGAGUCGGCCUGCGCGGAAGAUGUAACGGGGCUCAAACCACACACCGAAGCUGCGGGUGUCACGUAAGUGACGCGGUAGAGGAGCGUUCUGUAAGCCUGUGAAGGUGAGUUGAGAAGCUUGCUGGAGGUAUCAGAAGUGCGAAUGCUGACAUGAGUAACGACAAUGGGUGUGAAAAACACCCACGCCGAAAGACCAAGGGUUCCUGCGCAACGUUAAUCGACGCAGGGUUAGUCGGUUCCUAAGGCGAGGCUGAAAAGCGUAGUCGAUGGGAAACAGGUUAAUAUUCCUGUACUUCUGGUUACUGCGAUGGAGGGACGGAGAAGGCUAGGCCAGCUUGGCGUUGGUUGUCCAAGUUUAAGGUGGUAGGCUGAAAUCUUAGGUAAAUCCGGGGUUUCAAGGCCGAGAGCUGAUGACGAGUCGUCUUUUAGAUGACGAAGUGGUUGAUGCCAUGCUUCCAAGAAAAGCUUCUAAGCUUCAGGUAACCAGGAACCGUACCCCAAACCGACACAGGUGGUCGGGUAGAGAAUACCAAGGCGCUUGAGAGAACUCGGGUGAAGGAACUAGGCAAAAUGGCACCGUAACUUCGGGAGAAGGUGCGCCGGCUAGGGUGAAGGAUUUACUCCGUAAGCUCUGGCUGGUCGAAGAUACCAGGCCGCUGCGACUGUUUAUUAAAAACACAGCACUCUGCAAACACGAAAGUGGACGUAUAGGGUGUGACGCCUGCCCGGUGCCGGAAGGUUAAUUGAUGGGGUUAGCGCAAGCGAAGCUCUUGAUCGAAGCCCCGGUAAACGGCGGCCGUAACUAUAACGGUCCUAAGGUAGCGAAAUUCCUUGUCGGGUAAGUUCCGACCUGCACGAAUGGCGUAACGAUGGCGGCGCUGUCUCCACCCGAGACUCAGUGAAAUUGAAAUCGCUGUGAAGAUGCAGUGUAUCCGCGGCUAGACGGAAAGACCCCGUGAACCUUUACUGUAGCUUUGCACUGGACUUUGAGCCUGCUUGUGUAGGAUAGGUGGGAGGCUUUGAAGCGUGGACGCCAGUUCGCGUGGAGCCAUCCUUGAAAUACCACCCUGGCAUGCUUGAGGUUCUAACUCUGGUCCGUGAUCCGGAUCGAGGACAGUGUAUGGUGGGCAGUUUGACUGGGGCGGUCUCCCCCUAAAGAGUAACGGAGGAGUACGAAGGUGCGCUCAGACCGGUCGGAAAUCGGUCGCAGAGUAUAAAGGCAAAAGCGCGCUUGACUGCGAGACAGACACGUCGAGCAGGUACGAAAGUAGGUCUUAGUGAUCCGGUGGUUCUGUAUGGAAGGGCCAUCGCUCAACGGAUAAAAGGUACUCCGGGGAUAACAGGCUGAUACCGCCCAAGAGUUCAUAUCGACGGCGGUGUUUGGCACCUCGAUGUCGGCUCAUCACAUCCUGGGGCUGAAGCCGGUCCCAAGGGUAUGGCUGUUCGCCAUUUAAAGUGGUACGCGAGCUGGGUUUAGAACGUCGUGAGACAGUUCGGUCCCUAUCUGCCGUGGACGUUUGAGAUUUGAGAGGGGCUGCUCCUAGUACGAGAGGACCGGAGUGGACGAACCUCUGGUGUUCCGGUUGUCACGCCAGUGGCAUUGCCGGGUAGCUAUGUUCGGAAAAGAUAACCGCUGAAAGCAUCUAAGCGGGAAACUUGCCUCAAGAUGAGAUCUCACUGGGAACUUGAUUCCCCUGAAGGGCCGUCGAAGACUACGACGUUGAUAGGCUGGGUGUGUAAGCGUUGUGAGGCGUUGAGCUAACCAGUACUAAUUGCCCGUGAGGCUUGACCAU
This 1918-nucleotide ribosomal RNA is filed under the name Pseudomonas aeruginosa. Its description in RNAcentral is "bacterial LSU rRNA". It matches the Rfam family "Bacterial large subunit ribosomal RNA", at positions 1025 to 2925 of the family's 2925-position model. Lineage: Bacteria; Pseudomonadati; Pseudomonadota; Gammaproteobacteria; Pseudomonadales; Pseudomonadaceae. The record is from RNAcentral.